CUUGGUCCCUUCUCCACUUAUAAAAGUGGGAGGGCCAUGCCCCCCCUUUUAACCUGGGCACAGUAGCCUUGGGCAGGCGAGGAGUGGUGGUAGCAUGGGUGUAGUUUGGGGGAUGGGAGAGCAUUGUCCCUUCAAACUGCAAGCCUGGGGCCAGAGGCAUAUGGUUGCUACUUGGGCACAAAGCCCAGCGGCAGCCUGUCACUGGGAGCAGGAGGGAUCAGGCAGGGGCAGCAGCAGGACCCAGCAGGGACAGCCUGGCAGUGGGAGCUGGGUGCAGGCACUAAAGCGAGCCCGGGUGGAGUGUGGUGGCUGCUGAGGCUGGGCCAGCAGGAGCUGCACUGGAGGAGCCUUCCUUGCCCAGCUUCUUGCCACAGUUGUUGCUGUUGCAGCCUUGAGGGCUCCCUCCUCCACACCUAUGGAACACCUGACCAAGACAAGAAGGGGAAAGAAAGGACUCGGGAGGACAUCUUCUCAGAGAUCCUGCAAGUCAGUGCUGCAUUGGACUAUGAACAGAGAGUCUGGAGGAUGAAUAUUUCAGACACUAUGGAGAAGGAAAGAUCGGAUAGGAAAAAGUCCCAGAAGUCCCAGCAGGAAAAGGAGCAGAAGAUGCACCAGGAUAUGGAGAACUAAAUUUUAACAGUUCCCUACACCCCACAGUGUUUUUUGUGGCAUCAGGCCCUGCAUCCAUACCCAUACCACCCCAAGCUGGGGGACAAUGAAGGCAACCACAGCUUCACCAUACACUGACUGUGAUUGCUGUAUGUGUAGGAAAAAUGGACUGAAAAGGACAAGAAUGUCCUUUCCCCUUGCUAUGUUCUCUUCCAUUAAUUUAUUUGCAUAACUUUUUAUUGGAUUGAUUUUUAAACUGCACAUUUUUUUACAUUGGUUUUGAUUCACAAUAAAACUCUAUAUGUUUUAGAAA
Long non-coding RNA from Dermochelys coriacea (leatherback sea turtle), 922 nucleotides. RefSeq lists it as uncharacterized. The record is from RefSeq and is a predicted model, not a curated record. NCBI's taxonomy places the organism in Eukaryota, Metazoa, Chordata, Testudines, Dermochelyidae. The transcript has 2 exons.